CCUACGGGAGGCAGCAGUGGGGAAUUUUCCGCAAUGGGCGAAAGCCUGACGGAGCAACGCCGCGUGAGGGAUGAAGGCCUCUGGGCUGUAAACCUCUUUUAUCAAGGAAGAAGAUCUGACGGUACUUGAUGAAUAAGCCACGGCUAAUUCCGUGCCAGCAGCCGCGGUAAUACGGGAGUGGCAAGCGUUAUCCGGAAUUAUUGGGCGUAAAGCGUCCGCAGGCGGUCUUGUAAGUCUGUCGUUAAAGCGUGGAGCUCAACUCCAUUUCGGCGGUGGAAACUACAAGACUAGAGUGUGGUAGGGGCAGAGGGAAUUCCCGGUGUAGCGGUGAAAUGGCGUAGAUAUCGGGAAGAACACCAGUGGCGAAGGCGCUCUGCUGGGCCAUAACUGACGCUCAUGGACGAAAGCUAGGGGAGCGAAAGGGAUUAGAUACCCCUGUAGUCCUAGCCGUAAACGAUGAACACUAGGUGUCGGGGGAAUCGACCCCUCGGUGUCGUAGCUAACGCGUUAAGUGUUCCGCCUGGGGAGUACGCACGCAAGUGUGAAACUCAAAGGAAUUGACGG
RNAcentral lists this ribosomal RNA (564 nucleotides) under uncultured bacterium. RNAcentral's name for it is "bacterial SSU rRNA". It matches the Rfam family "Bacterial small subunit ribosomal RNA", at positions 338 to 916 of the family's 1533-position model. The record is from RNAcentral.